RNAcentral lists this ribosomal RNA (409 nucleotides) under uncultured bacterium. Its description in RNAcentral is "bacterial SSU rRNA". It matches the Rfam family "Bacterial small subunit ribosomal RNA", at positions 355 to 776 of the family's 1533-position model. The record is from RNAcentral.
UGGGGAAUAUUGCACAAUGGGCGAAAGCCUGAUGCAGCGACGCCGCGUGAGGGAUGACGGCCUUCGGGUUGUAAACCUCUUUCAGUAGGGAAGAAGCGAAAGUGACGGUACCUGCAGAAGAAGCGCCGGCUAACUACGUGCCAGCAGCCGCGGUAAUACGUAGGGCGCAAGCGUUAUCCGGAAUUAUUGGGCGUAAAGAGCUCGUAGGCGGUUUGUCGCGUCUAUCGUGAAAGUCCGAGGCUCAACCUCGGAUCUACAAUAAAUACAAACAAACUAAAAUAAUAUAAAAAAAACUAAAAUUCCUGGUGUAGCGGUGAAAUGCGCAGAUAUCAGGAGGAACACCGAUGGCGAAGGCAGGUCUCUGGACAUUAACUGACGCUGAGGAGCGAAAGCAUGGGGAGCGAACAGG